Molecule: ribosomal RNA, 464 nt
Filed under: Vreelandella stevensii
Lineage: Bacteria; Pseudomonadati; Pseudomonadota; Gammaproteobacteria; Oceanospirillales; Halomonadaceae
Description: partial 16S ribosomal RNA
Rfam family: Bacterial small subunit ribosomal RNA
Source: RNAcentral
CCUACGGGUGGCAGCAGUGGGGAAUAUUGGACAAUGGGCGAAAGCCUGAUCCAGCCAUGCCGCGUGUGUGAAGAAGGCCUUCGGGUUGUAAAGCACUUUCAGUGGGGAAGAAAGCCUUGGGGCUAAUACCCUCGAGGAAGGACAUCACCCACAGAAGAAGCACCGGCUAACUCCGUGCCAGCAGCCGCGGUAAUACGGAGGGUGCGAGCGUUAAUCGGAAUUACUGGGCGUAAAGCGCGCGUAGGCGGUCUGAUAAGCCGGUUGUGAAAGCCCCGGGCUCAACCUGGGAACGGCAUCCGGAACUGUCAGGCUAGAGUGCAGGAGAGGAAGGUAGAAUCCCCGGUGUAGCGGUGAAAUGGGUAGAGAUCGGGAGGAAUACCAGUGGCGAAGGCGGCCUUCUGGACUGACACUGACGCUGAGGUGCGAAAGCGUGGGUAGCAAACAGGAUUAGAUACCUGGUAGUC